This 370-nucleotide ribosomal RNA is filed under the name uncultured organism. Its description in RNAcentral is "bacterial SSU rRNA". It matches the Rfam family "Bacterial small subunit ribosomal RNA", at positions 526 to 896 of the family's 1533-position model. The record is from RNAcentral.
CGAAGGGGGCUAGCGUUGCUCGGAAUUACUGGGCGUAAAGGGAGCGUAGGCGGACAGUUUAGUCAGAGGUGAAAGCCCAGGGCUCAACCUUGGAAUUGCCUUUGAUACUGGCUGUCUUGAGUACGGGAGAGGUGUGUGGAACUCCGAGUGUAGAGGUGAAAUUCGUAGAUAUUCGGAAGAACACCAGUGGCGAAGGCGACACACUGGCCCGUUACUGACGCUGAGGCUCGAAAGCGUGGGGAGCAAACAGGAUUAGAUACCCUGGUAGUCCACGCUGUAAACGAUGAGUGCUAGUUGUCGGCAUGCAUGCAUGUCGGUGACGCAGCUAACGCAUUAAGCACUCCGCCUGGGGAGUACGGUCGCAAGAUUA